AUGGAUGCCGCAGAACAACAAAUCAAAGAGCUGCGUGAAGAUCAUAAUCGGAGAUUUGACCAGCUAGUUGAGAUGAUAAGAAAGGGUGUUCCCCCUGCUGCCAAUGAAGGAGAUUCAUCUAAAGAAAAGGGGAUGUUCAACAAAGGAGAGGUAAUCUUGGAGCAAGACCACCACAACAUCGUGUUGUUCAACGUGCUUCAAGAAGACCAAUUUAUGUUGAAGCUUCUGAAGGUGAAGAAUAUGAUGAUGCCCUUGAAGAACCUGAUCUCUAUGCAUAUCGGGAAGUACCCAACCCUACAUAUGCAAAAGAUACAUACAAGGUGA
This 324-nucleotide ribosomal RNA is filed under the name Triticum aestivum (bread wheat). RNAcentral describes it as "partial small subunit ribosomal RNA". Lineage: Eukaryota; Viridiplantae; Streptophyta; Magnoliopsida; Poales; Poaceae. The record is from RNAcentral.